UACGUAGGGCGCAAGCGUUGUCCGGAUUCACUGGGUGUAAAGGGUGCGCAGGCGGACUGGCAAGUCAGGGGUGAAAUCUCACAGCUCAACUGUGAAACUGCCUUUGAUACUGCUGGUCUUGAGUCAGGGAGAGGUUGAUGGAAUUCCAGGUGUAGCGGUGAAAUGCGUAGAUAUCUGGAAGAACACCGGUGGCGAAGGCGGUCAACUGGCCCUGAACUGACGCUCAGGCACGAAAGCGUGGGGAUCAAACAGGAUUAGAUACCCUGGUAGUCCACGCCCUAAACGAUGAAUACUUGGUGUUGGCCUUUUUUGGUCAGUGCCGAAGGAAACCUGAUAAGUAUUCCACCUGGGGAGUACGCUCGCAAGGGUGAA
This 372-nucleotide ribosomal RNA is filed under the name uncultured bacterium. RNAcentral's name for it is "bacterial SSU rRNA". It matches the Rfam family "Bacterial small subunit ribosomal RNA", at positions 524 to 898 of the family's 1533-position model. The record is from RNAcentral.